This 484-nucleotide ribosomal RNA is filed under the name uncultured bacterium. Its description in RNAcentral is "partial 16S ribosomal RNA". It matches the Rfam family "Bacterial small subunit ribosomal RNA", at positions 29 to 507 of the family's 1533-position model. The record is from RNAcentral.
AUUGAACGCUGGCGGAAUGCUUUACACAUGCAAGUCGAACGGCAGCACGGGGGCAGCCCUGGUGGCGAGUGGCGAACGGGUGAGUAAUACAUCGGAACGUGCCCGGUCGUGGGGGAUAACGUAGCGAAAGUUACGCUAAUACCGCAUACGAUCUGAGGAUGAAAGCGGGGGACCUUCGGGCCUCGCGCGAUCGGAGCGGCCGAUGUCAGAUUAGGUAGUUGGUGGGGUAAAGGCCUACCAAGCCGACGAUCUGUAGCUGGUCUGAGAGGACGACCAGCCACACUGGGACUGAGACACGGCCCAGACUCCUACGGGAGGCAGCAGUGGGGAAUUUUGGACAAUGGGCGCAAGCCUGAUCCAGCCAUUCCGCGUGCAGGACGAAGGCCUUCGGGUUGUAAACUGCUUUUGUACGGAACGAAAAGGCUCUGGCUAAUACCUGGGGCACAUGACGGUACCGUAAGAAUAAGCACCGGCUAACUACGUG